GUCGGUCCGGCGCUGCGUGACCACACGGCGGGUACUUACUCCUCUCACUCGGGUAUUUUCUGCCUUUUUUUGUAUUGUUUUAGGCUUUUUUUGUGCCUUUUUGCUUCCUGUUUUUCUAAUUUUAGUCAUUUUUAGCAAUUUGUCCUCUCUGGGCCGUUUUGAGGCCGUUUUGGGUCGCUGCGGUCCUGCCUCGGUGGAGAGCGGGGAGGGCCGAAGGGCUCGAGCCCUGAGUUUACCAAAAAGCCACGUUUUCCACUCAAAAUCCCACUGAAGGGAUCCGGCCGAGCGCCGCUGCCGGAAGGGCCUGGCGCCAGCUGCUCAUUUUGAGGCACUUUGGGCCUUUUUUUAUAUUUUUGCUUUUUUUUUUCCUUGGUGAAUCCAGAGGGGAAAAACCAAGCAAAAUUGGGGCUAAAUUGGUAAAAUUACACCCUCCCUGGGCGAAAAACCACCACCGCCACCUGGAUGCUCCACGCCCCCGUUUUUUUUUGGGUUCAAACCACCAGAAAUACCUAUUUUUUUUUCUCCCUUUCCUACACGUUUUUGGGAGGUUUUGCUGCCGGGCUCUGCCUUUUUCGGGUCGGGCGUCCUCGUUUUUGGGGCAUUUUCCUGCGGUUUUCACUGAGCUGUGCGGAGAAGCCGGGAACCAGCGCCCAGCAGACCCAUUUUUGGCCUUUUUUCCCCCAAAAAGGCGGCGGGGUCGUUUUGGUCUUUUUUUACGCUCGCUCCUAGCGGGGGUUAACCGAAGCUCCGGGGACAAGCCACAAUCCUGAUUUUCCAGCUCCAUUUUUGGGGUUAAAAAGCUGCUUUUCUUCCAAGCUGCCACUGCCUCCUACCUCUGCAUCUGUGAAAAGGCCGGAAAACACCCCAAAAAAAGCCCCCCCCCCCCCCCCCCCCCCUCCCCAGCACAGCCAGACCCCUACCCCCGACCGAGCCAGCU
This 937-nucleotide long non-coding RNA is filed under the name Anas platyrhynchos platyrhynchos (common mallard). Its description in RNAcentral is "lncRNA (ENSAPLG00000028052.1)". The record is from RNAcentral. Lineage: Eukaryota; Metazoa; Chordata; Aves; Anseriformes; Anatidae.